This 465-nucleotide ribosomal RNA is filed under the name uncultured bacterium. Its description in RNAcentral is "partial 16S ribosomal RNA". It matches the Rfam family "Bacterial small subunit ribosomal RNA", at positions 28 to 507 of the family's 1533-position model. The record is from RNAcentral.
GAUGAACGCUGGCGGCGUGCUUAACACAUGCAAGUCGAACGGAAAGGCACCUGCUUGCAGGGGUACUCGAGUGGCGAACGGGUGAGUAACACGUGGGUGAUCUGCCCUGCACUUCGGGAUAGGCCUGGGAAACUGGGUCUAAUACAGGACAGGACGAUGGUUAGGAUGCCAAUGUGGAAAGUUUUUCGGUGUGGGAUGAGCAAGCGGCCUAUGAGCGUGUUGGUGGGGUAAUGGCUUACCAAGGACUAGACGGGUAACCGGCCUGUGAGGGUGUACGGCCACAUUGGUACUGAGAUACGGCCCAGACUCCUACAGGAGGCAGCAGUGGGGAAUAUUGCACAAUGGGCGCGAGCCUGUUGCAGCGACGCUGCGUGUGUAAUGACGGCCUUCGGGGUGUAAACACCUUUCGCUUGAUACGAAGCGCAAGUGACGGUACCUAGAGAAUAAGCACCGGCUAACUACGUG